Molecule: signal recognition particle RNA, 90 nt
Filed under: Serratia marcescens
Lineage: Bacteria; Pseudomonadati; Pseudomonadota; Gammaproteobacteria; Enterobacterales; Yersiniaceae
Also listed under: 5 other names
Description: Bacterial small signal recognition particle RNA
Rfam family: Bacterial small signal recognition particle RNA
About the family: The signal recognition particle (SRP) is a universally conserved ribonucleoprotein involved in the co-translational targeting of proteins to membranes. Archaeal SRP consists of a 7S RNA and homologues of the eukaryotic SRP19 and SRP54 proteins. In most bacteria, the SRP consists of a 4.5S RNA and the Ffh protein (a homologue of the eukaryotic SRP54 protein).
Source: RNAcentral
UUGGUUCUCCCGCAACACUAACUUGUGAACUCGGUCAGGUCCGGAAGGAAGCAGCCGCAGCAGGUGACGUGUGUGCCGGGAUGUAGCUGG